RNAcentral lists this transfer RNA (71 nucleotides) under Perkinsus olseni. RNAcentral describes it as "tRNA-Thr". Lineage: Eukaryota; Perkinsozoa; Perkinsida; Perkinsidae. The record is from RNAcentral.
CGGUAUUUCAAAGAGGUUGAGCACGAGACUAGUGAUCCCGUGGCCGCGGGUUCAAGCCCCGUCCAUAAUGA